RNAcentral lists this ribosomal RNA (497 nucleotides) under uncultured bacterium. RNAcentral describes it as "partial 16S ribosomal RNA". It matches the Rfam family "Bacterial small subunit ribosomal RNA", at positions 28 to 507 of the family's 1533-position model. The record is from RNAcentral.
GAUGAACGCUGGCGGCGUGCCUAAUACAUGCAAGUCGAGCGAACAGAUAAGGAGCUUGCUCCUUUGACGUUAGCGGCGGACGGGUGAGUAACACGUGGGUAACCUACCUAUAAGACUGGAAUAACUCCGGGAAACCGGGGCUAAUGCCGGAUAUCAUUUAGAACCGCAUGGUUCUAAAGUGAAAGAUGGUUUUGCUAUCACUUAUAGAUGGACCCGCGCCGUAUUAGCUAGUUGGUAAGGUAACGGCUUACCAAGGCAACGAUACGUAGCCGACCUGAGAGGGUGAUCGGCCACACUGGAACUGAGACACGGUCCAGACUCCUACGGGAGGCAGCAGUAGGGAAUCUUCCGCAAUGGGCGAAAGCCUGACGGAGCAACGCCGCGUGAGUGAUGAAGGUCUUCGGAUCGUAAAACUCUGUUAUUAGGGAAGAACAAAUGUGUAAGUAACUGUGCACGUCUUGACGGUACCUAAUCAGAAAGCCACGGCUAACUACGUG